This 427-nucleotide ribosomal RNA is filed under the name uncultured archaeon. RNAcentral's name for it is "bacterial SSU rRNA". It matches the Rfam family "Archaeal small subunit ribosomal RNA", at positions 474 to 903 of the family's 1478-position model. The record is from RNAcentral.
UACCAGCUCUCCGAGUUGUAGGGAUGAUUAUUGGGCUUAAAGCGUCCGUAGCUGGCUUAGCAAGUCUCCUGUUAAAUUCAGCGACCUAAUCGUUGAGCCGCGGGAGAUACUACUAGGCUAGGAGGCGGGAGAGGUCGACGGUACUUUCGGGGUAGGGGUGAAAUCCUAUAAUCCCGGGAGGACCACCAGUGGCGAAGGCUGUCGACUAGAACGCGCUCGACGGUGAGGGACGAAAGCUGGGGUAGCGAACCGGAUUAGAUACCCGGGUAGUCCCAGCUGUAAACGAUGCGGGCUAGGUGUUGGGAUGGCUACGUGCCAUUUCAGUGCCGCAGGGAAGCCAUUAAGCCCGCCGCCUGGGGAGUACGGCCGCAAGGCUGAAACUUAAGGAAUUGGCGGGGAGCACCACAAGGCGUGAAGCUUGCGGUUC